AGUGAACGCUGGCGGUAGGCCUAACACAUGCAAGUCGAACGGCAGCACAGUAAGAGCUUGCUCUUACGGGUGGCGAGUGGCGGACGGGUGAGGAAUACAUCGGAAUCUACUUUUUCGUGGGGGAUAACGUAGGGAAACUUACGCUAAUACCGCAUACGACCUACGGGCGAAAGCAGGGGAUCUUCGGACCUUGCGCGAUUGAAUGAGCCGAUGUCGGAUUAGCUAGUUGGCGGGGUAAAGGCCCACCAAGGCGACGAUCCGUAGCUGGUCUGAGAGGGUGAUCAGCCACACUGGAACUGAGACACGGUCCAGGCUCCUACGGGAGGCAGCAGUGGGGAAUAUUGGACAAUGGGCGCAAGCCUGAUCCAGCCAUACCGCGUGGGUGAAGAAGGCCUUCGGGUUGUAAAGCCCUUUUGUUGGGAAAGAAAAGCAGCAGGUUAAUACCCCGCUGUUCUGACGGUACCCAAAGAAUAAGCACCGGCUAACUUCGUG
This 492-nucleotide ribosomal RNA is filed under the name uncultured bacterium. RNAcentral describes it as "partial 16S ribosomal RNA". It matches the Rfam family "Bacterial small subunit ribosomal RNA", at positions 29 to 507 of the family's 1533-position model. The record is from RNAcentral.